RNAcentral lists this ribosomal RNA (266 nucleotides) under uncultured bacterium. RNAcentral describes it as "partial 16S ribosomal RNA". It matches the Rfam family "Bacterial small subunit ribosomal RNA", at positions 793 to 1055 of the family's 1533-position model. The record is from RNAcentral.
GUCCACGCCCUAAACUAUGGAUGCUAGCUGUUGGUCGUAUCGACCCGAUCAGUAGCGAAGCUAACGCGUUAAGCAUCCCGCCUGUGGAGUACGAGCGCAAGCUUAAAACAUAAAGGAAUUGACGGGGACCCGCACAAGCGGUGGAGCGUGUUGUUUAAUUCGAUGAUAAGCGAAGAACCUUACCCAGGAUUGACAUCCUUGGAAUUUUGCCGAAAGGCGAGAGUGCUUUUAUUAGAGCCAAGUGACAGGUGUUGCAUGGCCGUCGU